RNAcentral lists this long non-coding RNA (537 nucleotides) under Trifolium pratense (red clover). Its description in RNAcentral is "long non-coding RNA (TPRA_LNC010972)". Lineage: Eukaryota; Viridiplantae; Streptophyta; Magnoliopsida; Fabales; Fabaceae. The record is from RNAcentral.
GAAAUUAUUAGAUUUUAUCCUGUUUCGUAGUGGAUUGAGUUUUGCGUGUUGAUCCGUAUGUUGCUGCUUGUCAUAUGGUUCAUAUAAAUUGUCUUCACUCUUCAGCAUUGACGUGUGCUGAGAGAGACCUUGUUUUUGAAGAGCAUGGUUUAUCUGCUUUGUGCUUUACACUUUCUUAGAUAUGUGAGUUGGCAUUCAAGACCUAUGAUUAGGAAAUAGAAGUUCUAAUACUUUAUUUGUUAAUUGAACUGCUGAAGGAUACCCUAAAAGUUAAGAUCUGUUCUCUUCACAGUAGUGAUCAAAAUCAAAUGGUUUUUAUGUCUAUAUUAUUGUUGAAGAGACUUCUAAGUUUGUGAGAAGUUACAUUAAACACAAUAAAUAGACUAGAGGAUAUAAAGGGCAACUUGGUGCUAUAUAAAGUUCUUGCGAUGGUGGGUUUAGGGAAGGAUCAAAUCCAUUUUGGUUCUAAUGUAAGGCAGUCUUGCCUUGCAUUAGAAAGAGGCUAGUUCCACGGCUUGAACUUGUGACAUCCUAAUC